GAUGAACGCUGGCGGCGUGCCUAAUACAUGCAAGUCGAGCGAACAGACGAGGAGCUUACUCCUCUGACGUUAGCGGCGGACGGGUGAGUAACACGUGGAUAACCUACCUAUAAGACUGGGAUAACUUCGGGAAACCGGAGCUAAUACCGGAUAACAUGUUGAACCGCAUGGUUCAACAGUGAAAGACGGUCUUGCUGUCACUUAUAGAUGGAUCCGCGUCGCAUUAGCUAGUUGGUAAGGUAACGGCUUACCAAGGCAACGAUGCGUAGCCGACCUGAGAGGGUGAUCGGCCACACUGGAACUGAGACACGGUCCAGACUCCUACGGGAGGCAGCAGUAGGGAAUCUUCCGCAAUGGGCGAAAGCCCGACGGAGCAACGCCGCGUGAGUGAAGAAGGUCUUCGGAUCGUAAAACUCUGUUAUUAGGGAAGAACAAAUGUGUAAGUAACUAUGCACGUCUUGACGGUACCUAAUCAGAAAGCCACGGCUAACUACGUG
RNAcentral lists this ribosomal RNA (497 nucleotides) under uncultured bacterium. Its description in RNAcentral is "partial 16S ribosomal RNA". It matches the Rfam family "Bacterial small subunit ribosomal RNA", at positions 28 to 507 of the family's 1533-position model. The record is from RNAcentral.